RNAcentral lists this long non-coding RNA (1302 nucleotides) under Vigna radiata. RNAcentral's name for it is "long non-coding RNA (VRAD_LNC005585)". The record is from RNAcentral. Lineage: Eukaryota; Viridiplantae; Streptophyta; Magnoliopsida; Fabales; Fabaceae.
GAUAAUUGUCAAUUUCUAGCCAGUGAUGAUUGGUGAGAGAUUUUACUUGGAUUUGUUCUGCAUGUACAUUAAGUCCAUAGAUUUCUACAGCUUGAAUACUUGUAAUUGCGCCAGCACCACCAUGUGGGCCAUUUGAAGCUAUAAUAUAAUCUCACAGGCACAUUAAGAUAAACAGAAAACAAAGUUAUUCUCUACUUUAGAGAAAGUAUGAAAUCACAUAAGAUAUACAAAUAGAUUACCUGUGCAACAUCAGUUGAAAUUGAAAUAUUCUACUACAUUCAGUAUAAUAUUUAUAAAGAACUACUCUUUAUUCAGUUAUAUUAAGGGAAAGUGCUCAAGUUUUUAUCUUAAACAAACAAAAUCCAAAUGCGGGUUGAAAACUAAUGAUCUAUAAUCUAUAGUAUACUUGCUCCAAAUUUGUCAAUGUCAAACAUACUACACAAUUAAAAAUACUUCUUACAUGACCCUUCUUGUUUAAUUAACCGCUAAAACAACUAAUACACAACUCUCGAGAGAACAUUUCAACUAGUUUAAAACAUUAAAAUUCAGUAUUACUUCAAAAAUUAAUGGAUUAAAUCCCAAUUUCUUUCAUGGAUGAACAAAUGCUAUAUAAAUCUUAAGCAAUCUGUAUAUUUCUUAUCUUGCAUAGGAUUGGAUGCAACAACAAUAGGUUUUCCAUAAUAGUAUAGCAAAUUUAUUCUUCCACACAGAACUCCGAAGCCUGCAAAAAAAAAAUUGCCAUUUUGAAUUAAAAUUUCGUUUAUAGAAAGCAUAAAGGGAUUGAGAAUUGAGAAUUAUGAGAGGACAAUGAAGUUUGACCAAACAAGACUCGACCUCCUUGUGUGUUUUCACUAUCAGCUUUCAAUACCAAAGCAUUGUUUGAAACAUCCAAAACAAGAGAGAGUGAGCAACUUAUUAUUGAUGUUGGUAUCAGAUCUGGAAGUUUAUUUGGCAUUAAAUAGCUUGUAUAUGUAUCUCAAACCAUAACCCUAGGUCGCCAACAUUACGGUUCCAGAAGAUAUUAUCUACAUCAUCGAACUUUCCGGUGUCGACACAUAAAUCGUAUAAUGAGAGAAAAGGAAAAGGGUUUACCAAGUUGUCUUUCGCGCUCGAGAGGAGGAAGAGCACAAGGAAGCUCGUGCGACGAUGGCGACGACUCCGACUUUGACCGUGUUAGGGGAAUCGGCGGGAUUAUUGACGACAUUAGUCAACUAUGGAAGGUUCAAAAGUGGGUAAAAGACGGGGUUUCGUAGGUUGGGAGAAAUGAGGAGAAAGACGAUUUGCGUCGUUGAUUAAUGUUGG